This 442-nucleotide ribosomal RNA is filed under the name uncultured bacterium. RNAcentral describes it as "partial 16S ribosomal RNA". It matches the Rfam family "Bacterial small subunit ribosomal RNA", at positions 338 to 795 of the family's 1533-position model. The record is from RNAcentral.
CCUACGGGGGGCAGCAGUGGGGAAUAUUGGGCAAUGGGCGCAAGCCUGACCCAGCAACGCCGCGUGAAGGAAGAAGGCUUUCGGGUUGUAAACUUCUUUUAAGGGGGAAGAGCAGAAGACGGUACCCCUUGCAUCAGCCACGGCUAACUACGUGCCAGCAGCCGCGGUAAUACGUAGGUGGCAAGCGUUGUCCGGAUUUACUGGGUGUAAAGGGCGUGCAGCCGGAGAGACAAGUCAGAUGUGAAAUCCACGGGCUCAACCCGUGAACUGCAUUUGAAACUGUUUCCCUUGAGUGUCGGAGAGGUAAUCGGAAUUCCUUGUGUAGCGGUGAAAUGCGUAGAUAUAAGGAAGAACACCAGUGGCGAAGGCGGAUUACUGGACGAUAACUGACGGUGAGGCGCGAAAGCGUGGGGAGCAAACAGGAUUAGAUACCCUUGUAGUC